UGUAUCUAAGCUUUAAAGCAGAGAAAAAAAAUAAUAUGAAGUAGAACUCAGAGAAAAGAGCCGUUUAAAAGACAAACUCCAAUCCCCAUCACUACUACUACUGUGAAAAGUGCAAGUAGUCGACGCGGGUAAUUUAUCUCGGUCUUCUAAGGAAAAUCUGCACAUUACCGGUUUAAAGUGAAACAGAGAUGAAAACGGAAGAUUUUCUAAGGACAGGAACUGCCCAGGAAUUUUCAGCAGUUCUUAAACUCUAUGAUGAAGCCAUCAAGAUAAAGGGCUCCCAGAAGAAGAGGCAAAUGAAAGAUGGCUUGAAGCAGCUAGACAA
Molecule: long non-coding RNA, 325 nt
Organism: Macrobrachium nipponense
Lineage: Eukaryota; Metazoa; Arthropoda; Malacostraca; Decapoda; Palaemonidae
Exons: 2
Source: RefSeq, a predicted model, not a curated record